RNAcentral lists this ribosomal RNA (253 nucleotides) under uncultured bacterium. RNAcentral describes it as "partial 16S ribosomal RNA". It matches the Rfam family "Bacterial small subunit ribosomal RNA", at positions 524 to 776 of the family's 1533-position model. The record is from RNAcentral.
UACAGAGGGGGCAAGCGUUGUUCGGAAUUACUGGGCGUAAAGGGCGCGUAGGCGGCCCGCUAAGUCGAACGUGAAAUCCCCGAGCUCAACUCGGGAACUGCGUCCGAUACUGGCGGGCUUGAAUCCGGGAGAGGGAUGCGGAAUUCCAGGUGUAGCGGUGAAAUGCGUGGAUAUCGGUAGGAACACCAGUGGCGAAGGCGGUCUCCUGGGGCAUUCUUGACGCUGAGGCGCGAAAGCUGGGGGAGCAAACGGG